GAUGAACGCUGGCGGCGUGCCUAACACAUGCAAGUCGAGCGAACCCUUCGGGGUGAGCGGCGGACGGGUGAGUAACGCGUGGGUAACCUGCCCUAUACACACGGAUAACGUACCGAAAGGUACGCUAAUACGGGAUAAUAUUGUUGGAUGGCAUCUUCUAACAAUCAAAGCUCCGGCGGUAUAGGAUGGACCCGCGUCUGAUUAGCUAGUUGGUGAGGUAAUGGCUCACCAAGGCGACGAUCAGUAGCCGACCUGAGAGGGUGAUCGGCCACACUGGAACUGAGACACGGUCCAGACUCCUACGGGAGGCAGCAGUGGGGAAUAUUGCACAAUGGGCGAAAGCCUGAUGCAGCAAUGCCGCGUGAGCGAUGAAGGUCUUCGGAUCGUAAAGCUCUGUCCUCAAGGAAGAAUCAUGACGGUACUCGGAGAAUAAGAGGUUGCUAACUCUGUGCCAGCAGCCGCCGUAA
This 467-nucleotide ribosomal RNA is filed under the name uncultured bacterium. Its description in RNAcentral is "partial 16S ribosomal RNA". It matches the Rfam family "Bacterial small subunit ribosomal RNA", at positions 28 to 523 of the family's 1533-position model. The record is from RNAcentral.